RNAcentral lists this ribosomal RNA (407 nucleotides) under uncultured bacterium. Its description in RNAcentral is "partial 16S ribosomal RNA". It matches the Rfam family "Bacterial small subunit ribosomal RNA", at positions 30 to 526 of the family's 1533-position model. The record is from RNAcentral.
AUUGAACGCUGGCGGCAGGCCUAACACAUGCAAGUCGAGCGGAGCGGCGGACGGGGGAGGAAUGCCUAGGAAUCUGCCUGUUCGUGGGGGAUAACGUUCGGAAAUGGGCGCUAUUACCGCAUCCUAUCAGAUGAGCCUAGGCCGGAUUAGCUAGUUGGUGGGGUAAAGGCCUACCAAGGCGACGAUCCGUAACUGGUCUGAGAGGAUGAUCAGUCACACUGGAACUGAGACACGGUCCAGACUCCUACGGGAGGCAGCAGUGGGGAAUAUUGGACAAUGGGCGAAAGCCUGAUCCAGCCAUGCCGCGUGUGUGAAGAAGGUCUUCGGAUUGUAAAGCACUUUAAGUUGGGAGGCGUUACCAGCAGAAUAAGCACCGGCUAACUUCGUGCCAGCAGCCGCGGUAAUAC